AUUGAACGCUGGCGGCAUGCCUUACACAUGCAAGUCGAACGGUAACGGGCCUUCGGGUGCCGACGAGUGGCGGACGGGUGAGUAAUACAACGGAACGUGCCCGAUCGUGGGGGAUAACGAGGCGAAAGCUUUGCUAAUACCGCAUACGAUCUACGGAUGAAAGCAGGGGACCGCAAGGCCUUGCGCGGACGGUGCGGCCGAUGGCAGAUUAGGUAGUUGGUGGGAUAAAAGCUUACCAAGCCGACGAUCUGUAGCUGGUCUGAGAGGAUGAUCAGCCACACUGGGACUGAGACACGGCCCAGACUCCUACGGGAGGCAGCAGUGGGGAAUUUUGGACAAUGGGCGCAAGCCUGAUCCAGCCAUGCCGCGUGCAGGAUGAAGGCCUUCGGGUUGUAAACUGCUUUUGUACGGAACGAAAAGCCUUCUUUUAAUACAGGAGGGUCAUGACGGUACCGUAAGAAUAAGCACCGGCUAACUACGUG
This 482-nucleotide ribosomal RNA is filed under the name uncultured bacterium. RNAcentral's name for it is "partial 16S ribosomal RNA". It matches the Rfam family "Bacterial small subunit ribosomal RNA", at positions 30 to 507 of the family's 1533-position model. The record is from RNAcentral.